GUGACAGGGUGCCAUUACUUUCUGAAGGCCCUGUAGAUGACAGGGUGCCAUUACUUUCUGAAGGCCCUGUAGGUAACAGGGUGCCAUUACUUUCUGAAGGCCCUGUAGGUGACAGGGUGCCAUUACUUUCUGAAGGCCCUGUAGAUGACAGGGUGCCAUUACUUUCUGAAGGCCCUGUAGGUAACAGGGUGCCAUUACUUUCUGAAGGCCCUGUAGGUAACAGGGUGCCAUUACUUUCUGAAGGCCCUGUAGAUAACAGGGUGCCAUUACUUUCUGAAGGCCCUGUAGAUAACAGGGUGCCAUUACUUUCUGAAGGCCCUGUAGGUAACAGGGUGCCAUUACUUUCUGAAGGCCCUGUAGGUAACAGGGUGCCAUUACUUUCUGAAGGCCCUGUAGGUAACAGGGUGCCAUUACUUUCUGAAGGCCCUGUAGGUAACAGGGUGCCAUUACUUUCUGAAGGCCCUGUAGGUAACAGGGUGUCAUUACUUUCUGAAGGCCCUGUAGGUAACAGGGUGCCAUUACUUUCUGAAGGCCCUGUAGGUGACAGGGUGCCAUUACUUUCUGAAGGCCCUGUAG
Long non-coding RNA from Oncorhynchus keta (chum salmon), 576 nucleotides. RefSeq lists it as uncharacterized. NCBI's taxonomy places the organism in Eukaryota, Metazoa, Chordata, Actinopteri, Salmoniformes, Salmonidae. The transcript is spliced from 3 exons. The record is from RefSeq and is a predicted model, not a curated record.